GGAGCAUCUCGAAGUGGAAAAGGUCCCCCUUCUGGUAGGAUGGAUACAAAAGGAGGCAACAGUUUAUGUUCCUGGCGGGGGCAGAAAGGACAUUUUUUUUUUUUUCUUUUUUGGUCUUUGCAUCGUUGGACUUUUUAUUUUUUAGUGCUGUUUCAGUCGCCCAGACUGGGGCAAUCUUUUUGUAAAGCAAUAGCAGACCUGCCAACUUUCUCUUUUUUGGAAUCCUUAUUAAAGGCAAGUUGCUUAGACUUUUUGUUCUUUGCCUGGUUAGAGAAAGUGGUUGAAGAAGAACGUCAAAGCGUGAUUGAAACAGAGCAGCUCGUGGUUCGGUCCUUUACAUAACGUUCUAUGGUUGGCAUAGAAAUAACGCUUUUUCUCGGGGUUUGUUUUGUUUUGUUUUUAAAGAAGAAGAAUGAGCAAGAGGUAAUCCCGCAUAAGCCACUUGAUAUUUGUUCUCCACACUCUUAGCCACUCCCUGCCUCUCUUCCUAAUCUACGAACUGGGGAGUAACGUUGACUGCAAAACAUUUAAGCACUUUCUGUGAAGGUCACAUAAACAAGAACAUUGGCACUUGGAAUCAGAAGAUAAUUAAAAGAAACCCUAUAAUGUAAAUGCCAGCUGAGAUCAUUUUAACCCAGGUUGCUGGUCCUAAGUACCUACCUGGUGAUUUCCUUGGAAGAUAACCAGUCAGUGAAAACAGGCAGUGAAGGCAGCGGAUACAAUGAGAGGCUGAGAAAGUGGAAGAAGCCUUCUUAAUCUUCCUGUUGAUGUCAUAAAGAACCGAUGUCUUCAGACUACUGGUGGCAUUUGUCAUUCAACUCAGGGACUUUCACAGCCUCAAUUCACAAUAAAAGAAGCCAAUAUUCUUUUAAAGGAAAAUUUCUGAGCAGAAAGUUCCUAUCCAAGUUCUUAGUCUAAUA
Long non-coding RNA from Peromyscus eremicus (cactus mouse), 920 nucleotides. RefSeq lists it as uncharacterized. The transcript has 4 exons. The record is from RefSeq and is a predicted model, not a curated record. Lineage: Eukaryota; Metazoa; Chordata; Mammalia; Rodentia; Cricetidae.